Molecule: RNA transcript, 1793 nt
Organism: Hevea brasiliensis (rubber tree)
Lineage: Eukaryota; Viridiplantae; Streptophyta; Magnoliopsida; Malpighiales; Euphorbiaceae
Exons: 8
Source: RefSeq, a predicted model, not a curated record
GAUAAUUUAUUGAACAAGGACUAUUGGGCGAAGGCCCCUCUGGGCCUCACUCCAUCUCCAUUCCGCUACGGAAGAAUAGCAACGAUCAGUUCACACAGGACCCGAACUCUUUUGUAACUUUCACACUUCAAAUCUCUUAAUAACAAUGGCUCCUGGUGUUCCCCGAUCCGGUGAUGCAAUGUUCGCGAGUGUCGAGCACGUGAAUGUGGAGAUAUUUACUUUAACAUAUGGGGCGAUUGUACGCCAAUUGCUUGCGGAUCUGGAGGAGGUUGAAGAAGUCAACAAACAGCUAGAACAAAUUGAGAACCGUGGCAUUCUUUUGUGGUUUUAGAGCUGAGCCACGAGCAGGUAUUGCAGUCACUACAAAAGGGGUUAUAAUAUUGGAAUUCGACUGGUUGAUGAGUUUUUAGCAAAAUGUAAUGUCUUGAGAUGUGUGGACUUCAGGGAGACAGCUGAAGUAAUUGCAAAGAUGGGACAAGCUUGAGUUGGUAGAUGAAGAACUUAGUUUGUAGCAUAAUGGAACUGCUGACUCGCCAUCUGAAACUUUUUUCAUCAUAUACAAAAGUGGGUUUCAAAAUGUUCCUAGGGUUGAGUGCAUCUGUGACCAAUUGGGAUGCUGAAGGGACAUGUUGCAGUAUGGUUUUGGAGGAUAAUCCCUUGGUAGACUCUGUUGAGCUUCCUGAUACAUGUCAAGGCCUAUACUACUGCAACAUUUUAAGUGGAGUCAUUAGAGGGGCACUGGAGAUGGUGUCAAUGAAGACUGAAGUGACAUGGGCUCGUGAUAUGCUUCGAGGGGAUGAUGCAUUCGAGUUGCAGUUGACACGCUUUUGAAGUGCACGACAAAUUGGUAUCAGAGCGUGGAGAUGAUCUUGAUGAGUUUGGUUGAAGGUGGAGCUGCUAUAAAUAUAUAGAAAGUCGUACAUACAAUAAUGGUGACGAUGGAGAGUUAAAUUUAAGGUGGAGCUCUUAAUGCUAAAUCAAGAAAGUUGAUGACUCGAAGAUUUUCUGAAAAAAGAAACAAGUUACACCCAAGAUGAAGAUUAAAGAAUGAAGAUUCGAAGGAUUCAAGUUCAAGCAUGGAGAUUUGAUGAUUUGAUAACACUAAAGAAUUUGAGGUAUGCAAUAGUUGAUAGAUUUUGAGUCAACAUGGAGAUUGUUAGAAUUAUGACUCAAAAUCCUAGUGAGAUUUGGAGAGACUUUUUUCUAAUUUUAGUGGGAGAAAUAUUGCUCAAUAAGAUAAAGGAAUAUUUCCUAUAUUGAGUAGAACUCUUAUUUCAGUGUUAUUUUUAAAUUGUGUGAGACUCCCAAUGAGAUUAAAAUUGAGAGAAUUGACAUUAUAAAUAGGAGAAUAGUAAAAAGGUUAUUUGGUUUCUCCCAUAGGGAGCGGCUUUGCCCAUUGAAGAGAGUGGCUUUGUUCAUUGAUGAGGGGCUCCUGUCCAUUGCAGUCCCAUAGAGGGAAAGAGGUUUCAACCUAAAGUAGAGAAAGGGCAUAGAAUUCAAAAGAAAUGAAUUUUUGUCUAUUGAUGAGAGGACUCUUGCCAAUGUAGUUGAAGAUACCAUUUGUGGUGUAGCAGUUAUAAUAAUAAAUGUAUUGAUUUAUGUCUAGAUAAGAUUGAGAUGGACUAAAUAAUAUAUUUACUGUAGUAUGGAUUCUCUUGGGUGUAAUUGGAUUUAUGAGUAGUAUAGUUUGAGUUUGUAAUUGAUUAUUUAUUGUUGAUAGUGGAAAAUAGCAUGCUCGUGGAUGUAGCCUUAUAUGAAAAUGGUGAACUACGUAAAUAUUGUUGUUUUGUGUA